GAUGAACGCUGGCGGCGUGCCUAAUACAUGCAAGUCGAGCGAACGGACGAGAAGCUUGCUUCUCUGAUGUUAGCGGCGGACGGGUGAGUAACACGUGGAUAACCUACCUAUAAGACUGGGAUAACUUCGGGAAACCGGAGCUAAUACCGGAUGAUAUUUUGAACCGCAUGGUUCAAAAGUGAAAGACGGUCUUGCUGUCACUUAUAGAUGGAUCCGCGCUGCAUUAGCUAGUUGGUAAGGUAACGGCUUACCAAGGCAACGAUGCAUAGCCGACCUGAGAGGGUGAUCGGCCACACUGGAACUGGGAAACGGUCCAGACUCCUAAGGGAGGCAGCAGUAGGGAAUCUUCCGCAAUGGGCGAAAGCCUGACGGAGCAACGCCGCGUGAGUGAUGAAGGUCUUCGGAUCGUAAAACUCUGUUAUUAGGGAAGAACAUAUGUGUAAGUAACUGUGCACAUCUUGACGGUACCUAAUCAGAAAGCCACGGCUAACUACGUG
Molecule: ribosomal RNA, 497 nt
Filed under: uncultured bacterium
Lineage: Bacteria
Description: partial 16S ribosomal RNA
Rfam family: Bacterial small subunit ribosomal RNA
Source: RNAcentral